This 254-nucleotide ribosomal RNA is filed under the name uncultured bacterium. Its description in RNAcentral is "partial 16S ribosomal RNA". It matches the Rfam family "Bacterial small subunit ribosomal RNA", at positions 524 to 776 of the family's 1533-position model. The record is from RNAcentral.
UACGUAGGGCGCAAGCGUUGUCCGGAAUUAUUGGGCGUAAAGAGCUCGUAGGCGGUCUGUCGCGUCUGCCGUGAAAACCCGAGGCUUAACCUCGUGGCUUGCGGUGGAUACGGGCAGACUAGAGGUAGGUAGGGGAGAAUGGAAUUCCCGGUGUAGCGGUGAAAUGCGCAGAUAUCGGGAGGAACACCGGUGGCGAAGGCGGGUCUCUGGGCAACAACUGACGCUGAGGAGCGAAAGCGUGGGGAGCGAACAGG